CCUACGGGCGGCAGCAGUAGGGAAUCUUUCACAAUGGGCGAAAGCCUGAUGGAGCAACGCCGCGUGGGUGAAGAAGGUCUUCGGAUCGUAAAACCCUGUUGUUAGAGAAGAAAGUGCGUGAGAGUAACUGUUCACGUUUCGACGGUAUCUAACCAGAAAGCCACGGCUAACUACGUGACAGCAGCCGCGGUAAUACGUAGGUGGCAAGCGUUAUCCGGAUUUAUUGGGCGUAAAGGGAACGCAGGUGGUCUUUUAAGUCUGAUGUGAAAGCCUUCGGCUUAACCGGAGUAGUGCAUUGGAAACUGGGAGACUUGAGUGCGGAAGAGGAGAGCGGAACUCCAGGUGUAGCGGUGAAAUGCGUAGAUAUAUGGAAGAACACCAGUGGCGAAGGCGGCUCUCUGGUCUGUAACUGACGCUGAGGUUCGAAAGCGUGGGUAGCAAACAGGAUUAGAUACCCCAGUAGUC
RNAcentral lists this ribosomal RNA (465 nucleotides) under uncultured bacterium. Its description in RNAcentral is "partial 16S ribosomal RNA". It matches the Rfam family "Bacterial small subunit ribosomal RNA", at positions 338 to 795 of the family's 1533-position model. The record is from RNAcentral.